GACAGAGGGUGCAAGCGUUGUUCGGAAUUAUUGGGCGUAAAGGGCGCGUAGGCGGCCUCGUAAGUCAGAUGUGAAAUCCCUGGGCUUAACCCAGGACGUGCAUCUGAUACUGCUUGGCUUGAGUCUCGGAGAGGAUGGUGGAAUUCCCAGUGUAGAGGUGAAAUUCGUAGAUAUUGGGAGGAACACCGGUGGCGAAGGCGACUCGCUGGACAAGUAUUGACGCUGAGGUGCGAAAGCGUGGGGAGCAAACAGG
Molecule: ribosomal RNA, 253 nt
Filed under: uncultured bacterium
Lineage: Bacteria
Description: partial 16S ribosomal RNA
Rfam family: Bacterial small subunit ribosomal RNA
Source: RNAcentral